UUUAUCAUCUUCUUCCUAAAGUGGCCGUGAAGCGUCCCUCAGGCACGACAACUCCUCUAUUUUUACAAUUUCUUUUCAACGCAGUUUUUUAAACAGUUCCCCCCUCUGGGGCUGGAUUGUUUUUUCAUAAUGAAAUGAAAGGGAUCGUGAAGACGGUUGCAUUGUGUGCACUGACGUCCGAUUAUCAUCCACAGGAUUUAUUACUUUUCAGUCAGUGGGUGAGGAAUCCGCGCUGCGGUUUACUGCCUCCCCUGUGGAUCAGCGGGCCGGGAAGGGGAGGGCAUUGACGGGCUGUGGCCGUCUUGGUGUUAUUUGCCCUCCAGGCAUCUGCCCUUGAGCGUAAACACCCUUAGCAUUCUGAACUGCACCCUGGGAAAUCAGCGGCGGAAUCGGAAGGGACCAUCAGAGCGGGGUGUUGACGGGCGGCUGACGUGACAUUAAGCCUCAGAUGUAGCCUGAUGGUUACACCGUCUCCCACUGUGAGAUCAGGCACCAACGGGGAAAGAUAUUUGUGAUCGGCCAACGCUGUCUCCCCAAACUGUGAAAUGCCAAAUUGAAAUCCUGUGAUUGUUGUAAAUGGACAUAAAGUUUUGGUAUUACGCAACUUAACUAUAAGGUAAGUAUGACGACUUUGAAAAGUUGUGUGUUUGAGAAAAAUACAUUUCCUGUUGGAAGCUCUACUGGCCAGCAACCCCUCUCCCCCCCCACCAUCCUCCCCUCCUCCCCACCACCUGGGUUCCAUGUGGGCAGACGGCCCAUCAUUCAGUACAGAUGGGUGGGCAGACUCAACAAACAGGGAGAUAGAUGCAUGCAACCGCUCGCUAACUAGGGGAAAACGAGAAGAGAAGCCGUGCAAGAAGGAAAGCAGGAGAAAGACUCUGCUUACGCUUUAAUGUUAAAGGUGCAAUAUGUUACCACUGUGCUUGGAAACACAAGUCGUCGACCCUCCGCCCAUCAAACGACAGGAGGACGUUCACGUGUGAUGAUUAUAAAGGACUAUUAGUGGAAACGUGUGAAAAUAGUGAGUCAGAGAAAAGAAACCUAAUAUUCAUGUUCCAAAGCACAGACAGGACACCCACUGUGGAGGAGUGACAUAGGGACUUCAUAUACAGCUGUCAAUCAGCGUGUAGCCCCGCCCUAUGGCCAACCCUGCUUUAUGGUCUCCAUCCGUCAAAGGAGGAAGCUGCACAAUUACAGCGCAGAGGAUAAAAUAACAAAGACUGGCUAUGAGGCGCCGAGUUACAGUAUUUCUCUCACUACUAAUUAGCAUCAGUGAUAAGUGGGCAUCUCGGCUCCCCCUGACAUCCCCCUGCAGCACAACAGGGGCCGGGGGGGCUGCUGAGCCCAACCUGGUGCUGUGGCGGAGGGCAAGAUGGUGCACCAUGUAACAUCUGCUCCCUCCAGCUGUUGGAGUAGCACUAACGCAGACGCGUACCAGCAGAAAACAGAGCAGUGUUGGAUUUAAAAAGAAGAAAUGCAUGUUUUAUUUGGUGCAUAUUUUCAUACUAAGCCCUGCGGGCAGUGACGCGUCGGUCUGGAGAGUCGGGGGUCAAAGGGUCAUGAUACAACAUGAGAAGAGCUCUGUUCACAUCCACCGCUUCUCAUCGGCUCUCAACAGCUGAGUCGGCAGCAUGCGACAAUUGGUUGCUAUUGCUAAUCUAUAAUCACCGCGGCAACAUGCUAAUGCUAAGCAGGUGCAAUGUUUACCGCGGUCAUACCAGAAUGCUAACAUUUGCUUUUUGCACAAAGCACAAAGGAGCAGGAUGGUAGUUGCCAAAUACUAUUUAAAAAUGUUUCACCAACGAUGAAGGAUACGUUAUUAUCCUCUAGGGAAGAUGCGCGUGUGCAGUAAAUUAUACUGCAAUCUGUCCAAAAGCUGUUGAGAUAUUUGAAUCCUCCCCAAACAGGAGUGUUGGAGGAGACGUCAGGGGAUCACCUGAACCAGCAGGAUUCCUCUUAAUACAAAACGUGAAAUAUUAUGAACGAAAUCUCAGGGCGUGAGAUUAAAACGGAGACGGGGGAGAAAUCCCACAGCGGAGCCGGCCUCGUUCGGCCUGAUAUCCCCUCUGUGACACGUCCUCCCUCGGGGUAUUGUGACAUGCAGAGGACAUGUCCAAGCUAUUCUUAUCAGCCUAUGCAGCACACACACACACACACAAACACACACACAAACACACACACACAGACACGCACAGGAUGAGUCCCACUCGGGCCCCAGCUUUAGGAGAGCGGGGGGUGGGGAGGGGGGCGUGAAGAAGGUGGCUUCACUGCUUCUGGACCAGCCGUCUUUCAUCAUUGAGGCGAGCUCGUGGAGACCUCGAUGUGAGCUCUUCACGGUCCGGUCAGUUGGAACCCCCCCCCCCCCAACUCCCAGUCACUGGUCAUGCUUCAUUUAAAAGAGGGACUAUUUCUGUCCUGCGCGUGAUGCGGAAAGUCCUUUGGUGUCGUUUGGGAGGGGACACCUCUCACAUGUGGCCGCCAUGUGCUCUGUAGACAUAUAGAUAUGAAGGUAUGACGAGGUAUUUGUAGGUAUGUAGAGGUAUAGGUAUGUGUAUUCGUAGAUAUGAAGAUGUGUAGGUUUGUAGGUAUGUAGAUAUGAGGGUAUGUAGAUGUGUAGGUAUGUAGAUAUGUAGGUAUGUAGAUAUGAAGGUAUGUAGAUAUGAAGGUAUGUAGGUUUGUAGGUUUGUAGGUAUCUAGAUAUGUAGAUAUGUAGAUAUGAAGGUAUGUAGAUAUGAAGGUAUGUAGAUAUGAAGGUAUGUAGAUAUGUAGGUAUGUAGAUAUGAAGGUAUGUAGAUGUGUAGGUAUGUAGAUAUGUAGAUAUGUAGAUAUGAAGGUAUGUAGAUGUGUAGGUUUGUAGGUAUGUAGAUAUGUAUAAUAUGUAGAUCUCUGCAAAACACGUUGUGCCUGAAGUCGACUGAGACGUUCACCUCGCCAACUUUCAAGAGAGGUCGAGGUGUCACAGAGGAAAUCAAAAACAAUUUGUAAUUUUAAAGGGAAUUCUGCACAGGAAUUAGAGUUGGAAUUAUCCAACGAAGAGAAGCUUUAACGUACAGGUCCAAUGAGCAAAGAAGUUUAUCCGUUAAGGCACCAUGGAGAGAGCGCACCAUGGCAACGCACCAUGGCAACGCACUUGUGUCGUUUUCUUAACAAACAAACUCAAAUUGAAUAAAUAAACAAAUAACAGGCAAAAACAGACCAAACAAGGUCAUAUUGUAUAAUGAAAUAAGAGCAGGAGGAGGAGGAGGAGGAGGAGGGAGG
Long non-coding RNA from Gasterosteus aculeatus aculeatus (three-spined stickleback), 3258 nucleotides. The record is from Ensembl. NCBI's taxonomy places the organism in Eukaryota, Metazoa, Chordata, Actinopteri, Perciformes, Gasterosteidae.